This 440-nucleotide ribosomal RNA is filed under the name uncultured bacterium. Its description in RNAcentral is "partial 16S ribosomal RNA". It matches the Rfam family "Bacterial small subunit ribosomal RNA", at positions 338 to 795 of the family's 1533-position model. The record is from RNAcentral.
CCUACGGGGUGCAGCAGUGGGGAAUAUUGCACAAUGGGGGAAACCCUGAUGCAGCGACGCCGCGUGAGCGAUGCAGUAUUUCGGUAUGUAAAGCUCUAUCAGCAGUGAAGAAAAUGACGGUACCUGACUAAGAAGCCCCUGCUAACUACGUGCCAGCAGCCGCGGUAAUACGUAGGGGGCAAGCGUUAUCCGGAUUUACUGGGUGUAAAGGGAGCGUAGACGGCGAUGCAAGUCAGAUGUGAAAGCCCGGGGCUCAACCCCGGGACUGCAUUUGGAACUGUAUAGCUGGAGUGUCGGAGAGGCAGGCGGAAGUACUAGUGUAGCGGGGAAAUGCGUAGAUAUUAGGAGGAACACCAGUGGCGAAGGCGGCCUGCUGGACGAUGACUGACGUUGAGGCUCGAAAGCGUGGGGAGCAAACAGGAUUAGAUACCCGGGUAGUC